GCGGACGGCUCAGUAACACGUAGUCAACCUAACUCGUGGACGUGGAUAACCUCGGGAAACUGAGAAUAAACCACGAUAGAUCAUAGUGCCUGGAAUGGCUUAUGGUCCAAACAGUUUACUGCCAUGGGAUGGGACUGCGGCCUAUCAGCUUGUUGGUGAGGUAAUGGCCCACCAAGGCGAUUACAGGUACGGGCUCUGAGAGGAGAAGCCCGGAGAUGGGUACUGAGACACGGACCCAGGCCCUAUGGGGCGCAGCAGGCGAGAAACCUUAGCAAUGUGCGAAAGCACGACUGGGUCAGUCCGAGUGAUUCCUGAUAAAGGAGUCUUUUGCUUGUCCUAAAAGCACAGGCGAAUAAGGGGUGGGCAAGUCUGGUGUCAGCCGCCGCGGUAAUACCAGCACCUCGAGUGGUCAGGACGUUUAUUGGGCCUAAAGCAUCCGUAGCCGGCUUUGCAAGUCUUCGGUUAAAUCCACCUGCUCAACAGAUGGGCCGCUGGAGAUACUACAGAGCUAGGGAGUGGGAGAGGCAGACGGUAUUCAGUGGGUAGGGGUAAAAUCCUCUGAUCCAUUGAGGACCACCAGUGGCGAAGGCGGUCUGCCAGAACACGUUCGACGGUGAGGGAUGAAAGCUGGGGGAGCAAACCGGAUUAGAUACCCGGGUAGUCCCAGCUGUAAACGAUGCAAACUCGGUGAUGCAUUGGCUUAUGGCCA
Molecule: ribosomal RNA, 709 nt
Filed under: uncultured archaeon
Lineage: Archaea
Description: bacterial SSU rRNA
Rfam family: Archaeal small subunit ribosomal RNA
Source: RNAcentral